CAAACCCUUCUCAAAAUUUCACGCGCACACUGUCUCUCACGGAUCUAAUUAUCCAUAAAUACGUAUAUCUUUUUGUUGCAGUCGUCUCAGAUUCGCUUGGUGCAGGUCGGGAACUUUGUUCGCCUUUACGGCGUGGUUUCCACGUCGUCUGGCAUGAUUCCAACAGUAUAUAUACAAAUGUGUACGGUAUACGUAUAAUUGAUGUUGUUGUUUUGGCGAAAAUUAGGUUCCUGCCUUGCAUCAACUGAAUCGGAGACCACGGUGAAUGUUAUAUGUCUGUUCUUAUUGGAUUCCAAUGGAUCCGUUAAUUGAUUUGGCUUUGUGGUAGGUUGUGGUUUGAUCUUUUUUUUUUUUUUUUUGGUCAAAUGUGAUGGAGUAUUGCUAGAUCUUGGUAAAAUAGUUAAUGUGCAUUUAAUUUGACUGUCAGAUAUUAUUUUUAAUCUUUUUUGUCGAGACAGAUUUGAUUUGGCAGGUCACCAGAAAGGAAAAAUGAAAAAGGAAGCUUUUCGAGUUGGAAUUAUGCUAUUUGUACAUUCCUUUGUGAAUACGACCUCUUGUUGAAUUUUGACCCCCCUCUUUUCAUUUCCUAUACUCUGUUUUUCCUUUCUGAAACAAUCUAGAAUCAUAUUCGGUUGUAGGUGAAAAUCUUGAUAAUUUAUGCAAAUGUUUGAUUUUUAAAGAUUGUCUUAGCGAAUUUAUGAUUAAGUCAUUGUAACUUGAAUUUUUUUUAUUAUUUUUUUUAUGUUAAUUUUUUUGGAGUAGCGUUUGCCCGUAGUCUUUAAUUGAUUGCCGGAUCUUAUUCUUCUGAUUUGAUGUUUAACCUGAAGAUCUGAACUUGGUAGUGAGCUAGAAAUUUUGAUUUGUAUCCUUCUUGUUCAUUCAGAAUAUAUAUUAAAAGCUUUGCAUUUUCUUUAGCUGUUUGUUAUAAAUUCAGUAUCGAGUUAUAUUUUGCCUUUACUUUUCACUUCAUUUCUUCAUAAUCUUAUCCUGAAUUGAAUUGAAUUUUGCGUUUAUAAUGGUGUUCUUCAUAUGCUCGAAAGUGACCGUUGUGUCGGUUUAUCUUUUUGCUACUUCUGGUCAUCACUUAUUAAGGUAUCUCAUUUUUGCUUUAUUGGUUUGUUGAUCCUCCUUGUUCUUUUAUUCGAUUUUGUCAUUCGUACCCGGAGUUUACACUCUGGUUACCGUGUGGGACCCGACCCCCAUGUGAGGGGUGGGUAACCCGGAGUGUAAAGCUUCGGGUACCUGUAGCAAAAUCCUCUUUUAUUCUGUCGCACCUGAUGAGAAUUUAAUUGUGUCAAUGGUUGUACAAGCUAGGUCUAGACGCCACCUGAGCUUUCUUUUUGGUUUGGCUCAUGGAAAAUGACUAGUUAGCUUUAUAAUAUCGAGAAGUAGCAGUGUGUUUCUGCAUUUCAUCGAUGCACAUGUGCAAGCUUUAAUUAAAUACUGUGUGAUGGUCUGGGGAUGAGAAUUGAAUCCAAGGACAUCUAGUUUCAGGGCUUUCUUAACUUGGCAAAGAAGCUGGCUAUUGGAUUAUAUUAGAAACUUGUAAUAAAUAGCAUUUUCUAUGAGCUAUUGAAGUUAAACUAUUAGUCUGUCAGUUUUACAAUACCUUGUUCUAAUUGUCCAUUUCACAUCUGCCUUCUUCUAAUGAACCAAAGAGUAGCCUUUACUUCAAUAUUUUAACCAAUAUUUUGCAAACCAAACAAGUUAUCGACCCAG
Molecule: long non-coding RNA, 1719 nt
Filed under: Olea europaea subsp. europaea
Lineage: Eukaryota; Viridiplantae; Streptophyta; Magnoliopsida; Lamiales; Oleaceae
Rfam family: MIR168 microRNA precursor family (bases 75-267)
Source: RNAcentral